GCCUGACAAUUGCAGUGUCGGUGAUCGGGCUCGGCCGAUCCUCCCACCCUUUGUGUACCUACCUCUGUUGCUUUGGCGGGCCGCGGUCCCCCGCGGCCGCCCCCCCUCCCCGGGGGGUGGCUAGUGCCCGCCAGAGGACCAUCAAACUCCAGUCAGUGAACGUCGCAGUCUGAAAAAACAUUCAAUAAACUAAAACUUUCAACAACGGAUCUCUUGGUUCUGGCAUCGAUGAAGAACGCAGCGAAAUGCGAUAAGUAAUGUGAAUUGCAGAAUUCAGUGAAUCAUCGAAUCUUUGAACGCACAUUGCGCCCCUUGGUAUUCCGAGGGGCAUGCCUGUUCGAGCGUCAUUACAACCCUCAAGCUCUGCUUGGUAUUGGGCACCGCCCUUCUUCGGGCGCGCCUCAAAGACCUCGGCGGUGGCUGUCUUGCCUCAAGCGUAGUAGAAUACACCUCGCUUCGGAGCGCAGGGCGUCGCCCGCCGGACGAACCUUCUGAACUUUUCUCAAGGUUGACCUCGGAUCAGGUAGGGAUACCCGCUGAACUUAAGCAUAUCAUAACCCGGAGGAAAAUU
RNAcentral lists this ribosomal RNA (571 nucleotides) under Macrophomina phaseolina. RNAcentral describes it as "eukaryotic LSU rRNA". The stretch from base 194 to 347 matches the Rfam family "5.8S ribosomal RNA". The record is from RNAcentral. Lineage: Eukaryota; Fungi; Ascomycota; Dothideomycetes; Botryosphaeriales; Botryosphaeriaceae.